UGCCCCAGAGCUGGGUCUCAGCCAGCCUUAGGGACAGUGUCAGGGCAGGGGACCCAUUGGUGGCACCUCCUGCUCCUCUCCUGACCCACAAGGCUGUGACAGAGGAGCCCCGUGUGCCACUGCCACCUUCACCCAGGGCAUACGGUAGGCACAGUCUCUAAAGACAUCCUUACAAGUUAAUUAAUUAUGUUUACAUUAUUUGAUCAUGUACAGAAUUUAAUAUAUUCUAUUAUAUAUAAUCUUUCUUGAAUGCUUUUUUAAAAAAGGAUUAUUUGGUCAGGAUCAUUACCGCAUUCCUUUUAUAAACACCACCUCUCCUUUCAGGCAUCUUUCAAAUCCUUGGAAACUGAUUGCAAAUGGCUCUUUAACCCCUGAACCCCCAGUUCAGCACGUGGUGUGAGGGACCCAGAGGCAGGAGCAAACUGGGGCCUCUGCACCCCAGGAAAGGGAGAAAGGGAAGGGUCCUGGCUCUUUCAGGCAUCUGACCUCCAGGAACGGGAGACAGGGAUGGAGUCCUGGGUUCUCCAGGUGUCUGACCUCCAGGAAAGGGAGAAAGGGAAGGGUUCCUGGUUCUUCCAGGCAUCUACCCUUCAGGCACAGAUCCAGCAGCACACCAGCAUGCCGGGCAGCAGUGGGGCAUUUGGAGAUGGGAUUCUCCCAUGCUGUGGUCCCUGAGUCCCCUGCGGUGUCACAGACACUGGCUGGCCAUCAGUGUGACGGGAGAGCCCCAGCAGCAGGAGGGAAGUGUCCCCAGCACUGGAGGGAGGUGUCCCUUUGUACCCAAAAGAGAAGGGAGGUGUCCCAGCACAGGAGAGAAGUGUCCCUGUGUCCCCAGAAGGAGGAGGGAAGUGUC
RNAcentral lists this long non-coding RNA (853 nucleotides) under Zonotrichia albicollis (white-throated sparrow). Its description in RNAcentral is "lncRNA (ENSZALG00000005134.1)". Lineage: Eukaryota; Metazoa; Chordata; Aves; Passeriformes; Passerellidae. The record is from RNAcentral.